CGACCCGCUCGACAGGUUUGCCAUGGUUGGCACGAACGCUAGACGACCCUUAAGACUCACAUCAACGUCCUUCCUGCUCGAUCUCCACCUCUUCCUUCUCCGCCAACCGAACCUUUCCGCCAUCCCACAACCUUGCCGCUACGCCCGCACUGACAAAGCCUCCGUCGCCCAUAGAGCCGUCCGUGUAGACGAGGAGGGAGCCCAGUUGCAGGUCUCGGACGGUUUGCUCGUGCUUGGUCGUACCAUGCCGCCGCCGACCACAUCAAUCUCGGCCAAACGCACGCGACGACGAGCUGGCGCGUCCACUUCGGCGCCAACCCGGCUUUCGAACGGGCAAGUAGGGAUAUGGCGGUCGUCGAUGUGGUGGCGCGGGCGGCGCAGGCGGUGAUGUGAUCGCGGAAGGAUGUUGACAUCGUCGAUCCAGCCAAAGCCGCAUGUCGUCGCUGUUUCGCAGGCGUCGAGUAGGGGGGCGUUGUACGUGAGGAAGAGGAUGGGCGAUAGCGAGUGCAGGAGCACUCGCUCAAAAGGGAGCGGAUCCAGUCGCAGGCGGGCUCGGGCAAUCCUCGAAUCUUCAGACGACCGCGUCUUCCGCCGAGCGACGACGUCGUCCGCCGAAGUGCGACCUCGGUAGCAGGCCAAACGACUCGGCUAGAUGCGACAGGCGUGCGGCGACAAUCCGUUCGAGCGCUUUGGCGAUGCAUCACUCGAAGGCGAUCAAGGGGUCCGGCCAUGCUAGCAUUGGCGUUGUCGACCCAUCCCGUGCGUUCUCGUUGAGUUCUGCGGGGUUGACGGGGUCCUCGCCGAAGCGGGCUUCAACUCCGUAUGUACUCGAGCGCGUAGUCUCGCGGG
Molecule: unclassified non-coding RNA, 849 nt
Filed under: Rhodotorula toruloides
Lineage: Eukaryota; Fungi; Basidiomycota; Microbotryomycetes; Sporidiobolales; Sporidiobolaceae
Source: RNAcentral